UCCAUCCGGUGGCAACACCGGUGAAGAUCUAGCGGCGAACGGGUGAGUAACACGUGAGAAACCUGCCCCGGAGACCGGGAUAACCCGAGGAAACUCGGGCUAAUACCGGAUACCCCCACCGAACCGCAUGAUUUGGUGAGGAAAUGCUCCGACGCUCCGGGAGGGUCUCGCGGCCUAUCAGGUAGUUGGUGAGGUAACGGCUCACCAAGCCGAAGACGGGUAGCUGGUCUGAGAGGACGAUCAGCCACACUGGGACUGAGACACGGCCCAGACUCCUACGGGAGGCAGCAGUGGGGAAUCUUCCACAAUGGGCGAAAGCCUGAUGGAGCAACGCCGCGUGAGCGAUGAAGGUUUUCGGA
Molecule: ribosomal RNA, 359 nt
Filed under: uncultured bacterium
Lineage: Bacteria
Description: bacterial SSU rRNA
Rfam family: Bacterial small subunit ribosomal RNA
Source: RNAcentral